GACGAACGCUGGCGGCGUGCCUAAUACAUGCAAGUAGAACGCAGUUGAGAACGGGUGAGUACGGCGUAGGUAACUGCCUCAACGCGGGGGAUAACUAUUGGAAACGAUAGCUAAUACCGCAUACUGUGAGAUGGACCUGCGUUGUAUUAGAUAGUUGGUGAGGUAAAGGCUCACCAAGGCGACGAUACAUGGCCGGCCUGCGAGGUGGAUCGGCCAAACUGGGAAUGAGACACGGCCCAGAAUUCUUCGGGAGGCAGACGUAGGGAAUAUUCGGAAAUGGACGGAAGUCUGACCGAGCAAAGCCCGGUGAGUGAAGCAGGUUUUUGGAUCGUAAAGCUUCGUUGUUAGAGAAGCGGUAACUAACCAGAAAGGGACGGCUAACUACGUGCCAGCAGCCGCGGUAAUUC
This 407-nucleotide ribosomal RNA is filed under the name uncultured bacterium. RNAcentral's name for it is "partial 16S ribosomal RNA". It matches the Rfam family "Bacterial small subunit ribosomal RNA", at positions 28 to 526 of the family's 1533-position model. The record is from RNAcentral.